RNAcentral lists this ribosomal RNA (450 nucleotides) under uncultured bacterium. RNAcentral describes it as "bacterial SSU rRNA". It matches the Rfam family "Bacterial small subunit ribosomal RNA", at positions 354 to 796 of the family's 1533-position model. The record is from RNAcentral.
GUGGGGAAUAUUGGACAAUGGGCGCAAGCCUGAUCCAGCCAUGCCGCGUGUGUGAAGAAGGCCUUCGGGUUGUAAAGCACUUUUGUCCGGGAAGAAAUCUUCCAGGUUAAUACCCUGGGAGGCUGACGGUACCGGAAGAAUAAGCACCGGCUAACUUCGUGCCAGCAGCCGCGGUAAUACGAAGGGUGCAAGCGUUACUCGGAAUUACUGGGCGUAAAGCGUGCGUAGGUGGUUCGUUAAGUCUGCCGUGAAAGCCCCGGGCUUAACCUGGGAAUGGCGGUGGAUACUGGCGGGCUAGAGUGCGGUAGAGGGUGGUGGAAUUCCCGGUGUAGCAGUGAAAUGCGUAGAGAUCGGGAGGAACAUCUGUGGCGAAGGCGGCCACCUGGACCAGCACUGACACUGAGGCACGAAAGCGUGGGGAGCAAACAGGAUUAGAAACCCGAGUAGUCC